This 120-nucleotide ribosomal RNA is filed under the name uncultured bacterium. RNAcentral describes it as "partial 16S small subunit ribosomal RNA". It matches the Rfam family "Bacterial small subunit ribosomal RNA", at positions 335 to 455 of the family's 1533-position model. The record is from RNAcentral.
ACUCCUACGGGAGGCAGCAGUGGGGAAUUUUGCGCAAUGGGGGAAACCCUGACGCAGCAACGCCGCGUGGAGGAUGAAGUCCCUUGGGAUGUAAACUCCUUCGACCGGGACGAUAUGACG